GACGAACGCUGGCGGCGUGCCUAAUACAUGCAAGUAGAACGCUGAAGAGAGGAGCUUGCUCUUCUUGGAUGAGUUGCGAACGGGUGAGUAACGCGUAGGUAACCUGCCUUGUAGCGGGGGAUAACUAUUGGAAACGAUAGCUAAUACCGCAUAACAAUGGAUGACACAUGUCAUUUAUUUGAAAGGGGCAAUUGCUCCACUACAAGAUGGACCUGCGUUGUAUUAGCUAGUAGGUGAGGUAAUGGCUCACCUAGGCGACGAUACAUAGCCGACCUGAGAGGGUGAUCGGCCACACUGGGACUGAGACACGGCCCAGACUCCUACGGGAGGCAGCAGUAGGGAAGCUUCGGCAAUGGGGGCAACCCUGACCGAGCAACGCCGCGGGAGUGAAGAAGGUUUUCGGAUCGUAAAGCUCUGUUGUAAGUCAAGAACGGGUGUGAGAGUGGAAAGUUCACACUGUGACGGUAGCUUACCAGAAAGGGACGGCUAACUACGUG
Molecule: ribosomal RNA, 497 nt
Filed under: uncultured bacterium
Lineage: Bacteria
Description: partial 16S ribosomal RNA
Rfam family: Bacterial small subunit ribosomal RNA
Source: RNAcentral